CGAAGGUGCCUUUCAGGCAUCCUCUCCCAAACUUUUCAGCCCGGCGCACCGCAAGGUUUGUGCCGGGCUUUUUUCUGCCCGGC
Molecule: small RNA, 83 nt
Filed under: Erythrobacter sanguineus
Lineage: Bacteria; Pseudomonadati; Pseudomonadota; Alphaproteobacteria; Sphingomonadales; Erythrobacteraceae
Description: Porphyrobacter sanguineus suhB
Rfam family: Makes More Granules Regulator RNA (mmgR)
About the family: SuhB later renamed mmgR (makes more granules regulator) was a putative non-coding RNA found multiple times in the Agrobacterium tumefaciens genome and related alpha-proteobacteria. Other non-coding RNAs uncovered in the same analysis include: speF, ybhL, metA, and serC.
Source: RNAcentral